GAUGAACGCUAGCGGCAGGCCUAACACAUGCAAGUCGAGGGGCAGCACGUCUUCGGAUGGUGGUGACCGGCGCACGGGUGCGUAACGCGUAUGCAACCUACCUCUUACAGUGGGAUAGCCCAGAGAAAUUUGGAUUAAUACCGCAUAGUAUACAGAUUCAGCAUUGGGACUGUAUUAAACAUUUAUGGGUAAGAGAUGGGCAUGCGUUCUAUUAGUUAGUUGGAGUGGUAACGGCACCCCAAGACAGCGAUAGAUAGGGGCCCUGAGAGGGGGAUCCCCCGACACUGGUACUGAGACACGGACCAGACUCCUACGGGAGGCAGCAGUGAGGAAUAUUGGACAAUGGGCGAGAGCCUGAUCCAGCCAUGCCGCGUGCAGGAAGACGGCCCUAU
RNAcentral lists this ribosomal RNA (392 nucleotides) under uncultured bacterium. RNAcentral's name for it is "bacterial SSU rRNA". It matches the Rfam family "Bacterial small subunit ribosomal RNA", at positions 28 to 420 of the family's 1533-position model. The record is from RNAcentral.